AACGAACGCUGGCGGCAUGCCUAACACAUGCAAGUCGAACGAAGGCUUCGGCCUUAGUGGCGCACGGGUGCGUAACGCGUGGGAAUCUGCCCUUUGGUUCGGAAUAACAGCUGGAAACGGCUGCUAAUACCGGAUGAUGACGAAAGUCCAAAGAUUUAUCGCCAGAGGAUGAGCCCGCGUUGGAUUAGGUAGUUGGUGGGGUAAAGGCCUACCAAGCCGACGAUCCAUAGCUGGUCUGAGAGGAUGAUCAGCCACACUGGGACUGAGACACGGCCCAGACUCCUUCGGGAGGCAGCAGUGGGGAAUAUUGGAAAAUGGGCGCAAGCCUGAUCAAGCAAUGCCGCGUGAGUGAUGAAGGCCCUAGGGUUGUAAAGCUCUUUUACCCGGGAAGAUAAUGACUGUACCGGGAGAAUAAGCCCCGGCUAACUCCGUG
RNAcentral lists this ribosomal RNA (433 nucleotides) under uncultured bacterium. Its description in RNAcentral is "partial 16S ribosomal RNA". It matches the Rfam family "Bacterial small subunit ribosomal RNA", at positions 29 to 507 of the family's 1533-position model. The record is from RNAcentral.